Molecule: long non-coding RNA, 97 nt
Organism: Gavialis gangeticus (Gharial)
Lineage: Eukaryota; Metazoa; Chordata; Crocodylia; Gavialidae
Exons: 3
Source: RefSeq, a predicted model, not a curated record
GGGGAAAUUGGGAAAGGCAGGGGGGCAAUGCUGCGAGAGGCAAACAAGCAAUAAACCCAUAGGGACAAAGGGGUCACAAAAGCUAACCCAGGUAAAA